AAGUCGUAACAAGGUUUCCGUAGGUGAACCUGCGGAAGGAUCAUUAACGAGUAACUGAACGGGUUGUAGCUGGCCUCUCGGGGCAUGUGCACACCUGGCUCAUCCACUCUUCAACCUCUGUGCACUUGUUGUAGGUCGGCGGAAGGGCGAGUCUCUUAAAAACAGGCUCGCUUGGAAGCCUUCCCAUGUUUUACCACAAACGCUUCAGUUUAAGAAUGUAACCUGCGUAUAACGCAUUUAUAUACAACUUUCAGCAACGGAUCUCUUGGCUCUC
Molecule: unclassified non-coding RNA, 274 nt
Filed under: air metagenome
Description: partial contains small subunit ribosomal RNA, internal transcribed spacer 1, and 5.8S ribosomal RNA
Rfam family: Eukaryotic small subunit ribosomal RNA (bases 1-46)
Source: RNAcentral